Molecule: ribosomal RNA, 981 nt
Filed under: Actinobacteria bacterium BACL4 MAG-120507-bin0
Lineage: Bacteria; Bacillati; Actinomycetota; Actinomycetes
Description: bacterial LSU rRNA
Rfam family: Bacterial large subunit ribosomal RNA
Source: RNAcentral
AAAUAAAUUAAUAAGUGCAAAUGGCGGAUGCCUAGGCACCAGAAGCCGAUGAAGGUCGUAGGAGGCUGCGAAAAGCCUCGGGGAGCCGCCAACCAGGCUUCGAUCCGAGGAUUACCGAAUGGGGAAACCCGGCUGGAGUAAUGUCCAGUCAUUUCUCUCUGAAUAAAUAGGAGAGUCAAAGGUAACGAGGGGAAGUGAAACAUCUCAGUACCCUCAGGAAGAGAAAACAACCGUGAUUCCGUUAGUAGUGGCGAGCGAAAGCGGAAGAGGCUAAACCAAUCAUGUGCCAAGCCGGCAGGCGUUGCAUGAUCGGUGUCGUGGGACUAAAUGAAAUUAACUGCCGUUAAUUUAACAAGUCAGAAAAUAGUGAAAUAGAUGAAGGACGUGGGAAAGUCCGGCAUAGAAGGUGAGACCCCUGUAGUCGAAAUUUCAUUAUCUUGUUUUUAGUAUCCCAAGUAAUACCGGACUCGUGUAAUCCGGUAUGAAUCUGGCGGGACCACCCGCUAAGCCUAAAUACUCUCUGGUGACCGAUAGUGAACAAGUACCGUGAGGGAAAGGUGAAAAGAACCCCGCAAGGGGAGUGAAAUAGAAUCUGAAACCGUUUGCAUACAAACCGUUGGAGCUGCCUUGUGCAGUGACAGCGUGCCUUUUGAAGAAUGAGUCUACGAGUUAGUGUGAUGUGGCAAGGUUAACCCGUCGAGGGGAAGCCGUAGCGAAAGCGAGUCUGAAUAGGGCGAAUAAGUCGCAUCAUCUAAACCCGAAGCGAGGUGAUCUCGCCAUGACCAGGUUGAAGCGCGGGUAAGACCGCGUGGAGGACCGAACCCACUAAAGUUGAAAAUUUAGGGGAUGAGUUGUGGCUAGGGGUGAAAGACCAAUCAAACUUCGUGAUAGCUGGUUCUCUCCGAAAUGCAUUUAGGUGCAGCGUCACGUGUUUCUUACUGGAGGUAGAGCUACUGGAUGGCCGAGGGGUCCUACAAGAUU